Mycena latifolia is the source of this 92-nucleotide non-coding RNA. The record is from the annotation of a GenBank genome assembly. Lineage: Eukaryota; Fungi; Basidiomycota; Agaricomycetes; Agaricales; Mycenaceae.
GGUCUGGUGGUGUAAUGGUAACAUACCUGCUUUUAUUAAUUUGUUAUGAAAGUUUCCACGGGAGAUUCUUUGUUCGAUUCAAGGCCAGCCCA